This 253-nucleotide ribosomal RNA is filed under the name uncultured bacterium. RNAcentral describes it as "partial 16S ribosomal RNA". It matches the Rfam family "Bacterial small subunit ribosomal RNA", at positions 524 to 776 of the family's 1533-position model. The record is from RNAcentral.
UACGGGGGGGGCAAGCGUUGUUCGGAAUUACUGGGCGUAAAGGGCUCGUAGGCGGCCAACUAAGUCAGACGUGAAAUCCCUCGGCUUAACCGGGGAACUGCGUCUGAUACUGGAUGGCUUGAGUUUGGGAGAGGGAUGCGGAAUUCCUGGUGUAGCGGUGAAAUGCGCAGAUAUCAGGAAGAACACCUAUGGCGAAGGCAGCACUCUGGGACGGUACUGACGCUGAGACGCGAAAGCGUGGGGAGCGAACAGG